GGGGCCAUAGCUCAGUUGGGAGAGCGCUUGAAUGGCAUUCAAGAGGUCGUCGGUUCGAUUCCGAUUGGCUCCA
This is a transfer RNA of Roseomonas sp., 73 nucleotides long. It matches the Rfam family "tRNA". Rfam says of the family: Transfer RNA (tRNA) molecules are approximately 80 nucleotides in length. Their secondary structure includes four short double-helical elements and three loops (D, anti-codon, and T loops). NCBI's taxonomy places the organism in Bacteria, Pseudomonadati, Pseudomonadota, Alphaproteobacteria, Acetobacterales, Roseomonadaceae. The record is from Rfam.